GAUGAACGCUGGCGGCGUGCCUAAUACAUGCAAGUCGAGCGAACAGAUGAGGAGCUUGCUCCUCUGACGUUAGCGGCGGACGGGUGAGUAACACGUGGAUAACCUACCUAUAAGACUGGGAUAACUUCGGGAAACCGGAGCUAAUACCGGAUAAUAUAUUUAACCGCAUGGUUCAAUAUUGAAAGACGGUUUUGCUGUCACUUAUAGAUGGAUCCGCGCCGCAUUAGCUAGUUGGUAAGGUAACGGCUUACCAAGGCAACGAUGCGUAGCCGACCUGAGAGGGUGAUCGGCCACACUGGAACUGAGACACGGUCCAGACUCCGACGGGAGGCAGCAGUAGGGAAGCUUCCGCAAUGGGCGAAAGCCUGACGGAGCAACGCCGCGUGAGUGAUGAAGGUCUUCGGAUCGUAAAACUCUGUUAUUAGGGAAGAACAAAUGUGUAAGUAACUAUGCACGUCUUGACGGUACCUAAUCAGAAAGCCACGGCUAACUACGUG
RNAcentral lists this ribosomal RNA (497 nucleotides) under uncultured bacterium. Its description in RNAcentral is "partial 16S ribosomal RNA". It matches the Rfam family "Bacterial small subunit ribosomal RNA", at positions 28 to 507 of the family's 1533-position model. The record is from RNAcentral.